Hordeum vulgare subsp. vulgare (domesticated barley) is the source of this 292-nucleotide long non-coding RNA. RefSeq lists it as uncharacterized. The record is from RefSeq and is a predicted model, not a curated record. Lineage: Eukaryota; Viridiplantae; Streptophyta; Magnoliopsida; Poales; Poaceae. The transcript is spliced from 2 exons.
UAGGGUAGGGUCAUAGGCUUGACCUAUGUGUCCUACCUGUCGAACAUGAUAGAACCAGGUUCAGCUUACAUGACUUGUACCUCAAGGAAUCUAGUAGAGAUAAGAUAGACUCUAGUUUAAACUUUUAAAGCUGCUCUAUCCCUGUUGGUUGUAACUAGAUUGGAUUCUAUCUCUAUCUCUAUUCCUUGAUCUCCGAGAUGUACUUUAAACAUGUAUGCACUAUCUAGGGAUUUGGUGCCCCUCUAUAUAAACAUGCAACACGUCCCUCUAACGAGGUAAGAUGUUUCCGCAA